UACGGAGGGUGCAAGCGUUAAUCGGAAUUACUGGGCGUAAAGGGCGCGUAGGUGGUUAGCUAAGUUGGCUGUGAAAUUCCUGGGCUUAACCUGGGAUGGUCAGCCAAAACUGGUUAACUAGAGUAUGAUAGAGGGUAGUGGAAUUUCAGGUGUAGCGGUGAAAUGCGUAGAUAUCUGAAGGAACACCAGUGGCGAAGGCGACUACCUGGCUCAAUACUGACACUGAGGCGCGAAAGCGUGGGGAGCAAACAGG
This 253-nucleotide ribosomal RNA is filed under the name uncultured bacterium. RNAcentral describes it as "partial 16S ribosomal RNA". It matches the Rfam family "Bacterial small subunit ribosomal RNA", at positions 524 to 776 of the family's 1533-position model. The record is from RNAcentral.